GAUGAACGCUGGCGGCGUGCCUAAUACAUGCAAGUCGAGCGAACAGACGAGGAGCUUGCUCCUCUGACGUUAGCGGCGGACGGGUGAGUAACACGUGGAUAACCUACCUAUAAGACUGGGAUAACUUCGGGAAACCGGAGCUAAUACCGGAUAAUAUAUUGAACCGCAUGGUUCAAUAGUUAAAGACGGUUUUGCUGUCACUUAUAGAUGGAUCCGCGCCGCAUUAGCUAGUUGGUAAGGUAACGGCUUACCAAGGCGACGAUGCGUAGCCGACCUGAGAGGGUGAUCGGCCACACUGGAACUGAGACACGGUCCAGACUCCUACGGGAGGCAGCAGUAGGGAAUCCUCCGCAAUGGGCGAAAGCCUGACGGAGCAACGCCGCGUGAGUGAUGAAGGUCUUCGGAUCGUAAAACUCUGUUAUUAGGGAAGAACAAAUGUGUAAGUAACUAUGCACGUCUUGACGGUACCUAAUCAGAAAGCCACGGCUAACUACGUG
Molecule: ribosomal RNA, 497 nt
Filed under: uncultured bacterium
Lineage: Bacteria
Description: partial 16S ribosomal RNA
Rfam family: Bacterial small subunit ribosomal RNA
Source: RNAcentral